RNAcentral lists this ribosomal RNA (1826 nucleotides) under Triticum aestivum (bread wheat). Its description in RNAcentral is "partial small subunit ribosomal RNA". Lineage: Eukaryota; Viridiplantae; Streptophyta; Magnoliopsida; Poales; Poaceae. The record is from RNAcentral.
CCUCACUCUCACUGGCAUGGCACUCACGGGGCAAAACCCCACCGGCCAGUCCAAGCCGCAGGACGCCGGUAAAACCCAUCAUAAGUCUCCUCUCCUCCCCGGAGCGUCUGCCCGACGGUUGGGGUGAAAAACCAGGAGCGCAGGUUCGCUCACCUGCCCGCUCCAGUGUUCCGUGCUUCCUGUUUGUUUAUUCAUUCACUCAUUCACUCACAGCACAACGCCAACUCCAACGCUAACGCCUCGCCUCAGCUAUACAUCGGGAGCUGCCGCGUCGUCCGUGCGUGGGGGACCGGCCGCGCACAUCGGAGCCCCGCCGCCUCGGCGAGCCGGCCCGCCGGACGCCAUGGCUGCCGGCGACGAGCCCUCCGUCACCCGCUGGUCCUUCCAGGACUUCGAGCGCUACUACGACGCGGGCCUCGGCAUCUGCCGCCAGCCCAAGGGCGACGGCGACGACGACGACGACGCGCCGCCCGGAUCGGGCUCCGCCGACGCCGCCCACGGCCACGCCAACGGCGGCGCUGACCUGUCCGUCUUCGAGCAGUUCCAGCGGCUGGAUAGAAAUGUUGAGUUGCGCAAUGGGGCAAUGGAUGUCGGGCCACCGCAGAAAUCCAUGCUUCCUUCUUUUGAAUCUGCAGAAACAUGCAACUUAGCCGAGACAUUGUUGAGGGAUAUCAUUCGUGGGAGUCCAGAUGUCAAAUGGGAAAGCAUUAAAGGUUUGGAAACUGCGAAGCGACUUCUUAAGGAGGCAGUUGUCAUGCCUAUAAAGUAUCCCAAGUACUUCACAGGUCUGUUAUCACCCUGGAAAGGUAUAUUGCUAUUUGGUCCACCAGGAACAGGAAAGACAAUGCUGGCAAAAGCUGUGGCUACCGAGUGCAAAACAACUUUUUUCAACAUUUCAGCCUCAUCAAUUGUCAGCAAAUGGCGUGGUGACUCGGAGAAACUAGUAAAAGUCUUAUUUGAGCUUGCAAGGCAUCAUGCACCAUCUACCAUUUUCCUUGAUGAGAUUGAUGCCAUCAUUAGCCAACGUGGUGAAGCUCGUAGUGAACAUGAAGCCAGUCGGCGAUUGAAGACUGAACUAUUAAUACAGAUGGAUGGGUUGACUAAGACAGAUGAGCUUGUUUUUGUUCUGGCGGCCACAAAUUUACCUUGGGAACUAGAUGCAGCAAUGUUACGCCGAUUGGAAAAACGUAUUCUUGUGCCCUUACCAGAGGCAGAAGCCAGGCAUGCUAUGUUUGAAGAGUUCCUUCCAUCGACUCCAGACACAAUGGAGAUUCCAUAUGAUGUUCUUGUGGAGAGCACCGAAGGAUAUUCCGGCUCUGAUAUACGCCUUGUUUGUAAGGAGGCAGCAAUGCAACCACUUAGACGGUUAAUGGCAGUUCUAGAAGGCAGACAAGAAGAAAUGCCAGAGGAUGAGUUGCCUGAAGUUGGCCCAAUAGCGGCAGAAGAUAUUGAACUUGCCUUGAGGAAUACACGGCCGUCUGCUCAUCUCCAUGCACAUAGAUAUGAGCAAUUCAAUCAAGAUUAUGGCAGCCAUGUCAUCGGCUAAAGGAGCAUGUUGAUAUGACCUCGUUUGCACCCUGUAUGGAGCUUUAGUAUUCGUCAGCAGAAAGAAUAAUUACCAUACAUGUAUUUCCAGCUCGUAAGCAUUGCUUGUGUAUAAUAUUUAUUCCAUCAUCAUUUAUAUUACCAUUUAUAUCACAAGCAAUAAGCCCUUUGGGCAUUCAAGCUCUACCGACUUUUGGCUUGCCAUCCCCAAACCUGUGGCGUCAUUCGUUGGCGUGUAUUUUAUGGUGGGCAGCUUGAAGCUUUGGUCCUCGGCUUGUUUU